RNAcentral lists this small nuclear RNA (23 nucleotides) under Arabidopsis thaliana (thale cress). RNAcentral's name for it is "snRNA_08730". Lineage: Eukaryota; Viridiplantae; Streptophyta; Magnoliopsida; Brassicales; Brassicaceae. The record is from RNAcentral.
AAAACCCACGCGUAGCGUGGGUA